Molecule: transfer RNA, 89 nt
Filed under: Yarrowia lipolytica
Lineage: Eukaryota; Fungi; Ascomycota; Dipodascomycetes; Dipodascales
Description: tRNA-Thr
Rfam family: tRNA
About the family: Transfer RNA (tRNA) molecules are approximately 80 nucleotides in length.
Source: RNAcentral
UCCGUCAAUAGUUUAGUGGCUAGAAUUUUCGCCUUGUCAGGUAUUACACCAGCACGCGGGGGACCGGAGUUCAAUUCUCCGUUGCGGAG